UGCUUUUACGACCCAAGGUCGCGACGCC
This 28-nucleotide small RNA is filed under the name Bombyx mori (domestic silkworm). Its description in RNAcentral is "ovarian small RNA-34354". The record is from RNAcentral. Lineage: Eukaryota; Metazoa; Arthropoda; Insecta; Lepidoptera; Bombycidae.